RNAcentral lists this ribosomal RNA (448 nucleotides) under uncultured bacterium. RNAcentral describes it as "bacterial SSU rRNA". It matches the Rfam family "Bacterial small subunit ribosomal RNA", at positions 329 to 792 of the family's 1533-position model. The record is from RNAcentral.
AUCCAGACUCCUACGGGAGGCAGCAGUGGGGAAUAUUGCACAAUGGGGGAAACCCUGAUGCAGCAACGCCGCGUGAAGGAAGACGGUUUUCGGAUUGUAAACUUCUCUCAAUAGGGAAGAAAGAAAUGACGGUACCUAAAUAAGAAGCCCCGGCUAACUACGUGCCAGCAGCCGCGGUAAUACGUAGGGGGCAAGCGUUAUCCGGAAUUACUGGGUGUAAAGGGUGCGCAGGCGGCACGGCAAGCCGGCGGUCAAAUCGCGGGGCUCAACCCCGCCCAGCCGUCGGAACUGCCGGGCUAGAGUGGGCGAGAAGUGCGCGGAAUGCGUGGUGUAGCGGUGAAAUGCAUAGAUAUCACGCAGAACUCCGAUUGCGAAGGCAGCGCACCGGCGCCCUACUGACGCUCAGGCACGAAAGCGUGGGUAUCGAACAGGAUUAGAUACCCGCGUA